Molecule: transfer RNA, 72 nt
Filed under: Phycisphaeraceae bacterium
Lineage: Bacteria; Pseudomonadati; Planctomycetota; Phycisphaerae; Phycisphaerales; Phycisphaeraceae
Also listed under: 6 other names
Description: tRNA-Thr
Rfam family: tRNA
About the family: Transfer RNA (tRNA) molecules are approximately 80 nucleotides in length. Their secondary structure includes four short double-helical elements and three loops (D, anti-codon, and T loops).
Source: RNAcentral
GCCACCGUAGCUCAGUGGUAGAGCACUCCCUUGGUAAGGGAGAGGUCAUGGGUUCAAGUCCCAUUGGUGGCU